UGUUCUUUCCUUCUGGCAGAGCAAUCUGCGUUAGCUGAGCUCUUUCACGGAGCGGAGCCAAGCCACCCUAUCUGUAGCCUCCCGCAAUGACCAGCAGACUCUCACAGCCACCAAAAGGGAACCUUUCCGCAUAAAGCCAGGUUCUGCUUGGGCACCAUGGCAAGCAGUCCCAGGCCAGACGGUCCACCUUCCACAACAACAGUUAGUUCUGUCCUUGUCCAGGCUGGUGACUGCAGAAUUACCAUAGCUAUUCUUAAGUGCGGGACGUGGGUGCAGCUCCAACUAUCUGAAUCAGUACCAAAUUUACUAGAAAUUGGCAGCAAUCAAGAAGAGACCAACAAAUUAUUGCAAGACCAUGAACUUCUCCUGGCUAAGCUUAAGCCUUUGGAAGGCCAAGUGUGGGACCUGUUGCGUGAAGCAGACAAAACUGCAGCAGAAAACACAGAUCAAGGACUGGUGUACGAUGCCAUGGCAGAAACCCUGGGCGAUGCUUGGGACUCACUCAUUUGCUUUCUGGAGAAGCGCAGGGGGCUUCUAAAACUUACCUCAAGUUUUUUUGAAAAGGCUCUCGAGUUUGCGGUCAAGAUUGACCAGGUUGAAGAUUUCCUGCGGAAUUCCCAAGAGUUUGAGACACCUGAAUCCUUGAAAUUGCUCCUGUGCCAGCACAAACUUCAUACAAAAGAGCUUUUACAAAAGUCAUUGGUCCUCUUGAACAAAAGCCAAGACCUUACUGAAUUCAUAGAAGAAUUCAAAUCUGAUGGCCCGAAUAUCAAUCCAGAAUUCUUCCAGGGAGCCCACAGCAGCUGCCUGAAAAUUGACAGGCUUCUUGAAGCUCUGCAAGACCGGAGGAGGCAGCUGGACAAGUACCUGAAGCUGCAGCGUCAGGGGCUAGAGCAAGUCCUGCACAUCUGUCAGUGGCACCACCGGGAAAAUCAGGUAACCUCUUGGUACAAGAAGAAUAUAAAAGAUUAUUUCCAUAAGCACAACUUUGGGUCAACUUUAAAAGAAAAUGAAGAAUUACUUCAGGAACACAAGGAAAUUGAAAAUAAGGUUAAAGAAUGGAACUCUACUUUGGAAGAAUUAAAAACUGAUGCACUCGGGAUCCUAUUUUCAGAGGAUUAUGCUGAAAAAGAGCAUCUGAAACUUGCCAAUCAGAAAAUAAAUCUAUUGCAACAGGAAGUGAACCGCAGUAUGAAUGAACGGAAAACUUUGCUACAAGAAGCCAAUGACUUCUUCAUCGCAGCAAAUAAGGCAUGUGAUAUACUUGGAAAUGUAGAGGCUUCACUGCAGCUUCUUAACUCAGAAGGUCCAAGCAUGUCUCUGCCAGCAAUGAAGCAUGAGGAACUGCUGAAGAAAAUUCAGAAUGGAUCGACUGAUGCUCUGCAGAAGGGACACACCUUACUCAGCAAAGGAGAUACUUGCAGUUCUUGGAUGGCUGGUGUUCAGGAAAUGGUAGAUUACAUUCAGAAAAAAGUAGACCAGUUGAUUAAGCAGUGUUCUGCUCACAAAGAACUUGCCUCAAAAAAGCAACAUUUAACGACGUCCAUAGAUGAUUAUCUCAAGAAGGCUUCUACAAAGAUUAAAAACAUUGGUCCAAUACUGUCUGUUGCGAUGAAUCCUGGAUCUUCUGUGCCUGAAUCAGAGGAAGUCUUGAACAAAUAUUUAGAGCUGGCAAAUCAAACCAAGGAGAUGGCGAAUGAACUGGAAUUAGCUGUACGGAUUUUUAAGGAGAUGGAAGAAUUUGAAACUACAGAUGUUACAGCUUUUUCUAACAAAACUGACCUUCUGAAUGAAGAGCUGACGACACUGAACAGAAAUAUUAGCUUGAAACUGGAAGUGCUGAAGCCUUAUGUAGCUUUUUUAAAGUCAUCAAAUGAGGUUGAAGAUGAUGCUCAGAGGCUGAAAAAGUUCUAUAUAACAGAGCCUUUGCAAGAAGACAUUGAAGCUAAAAAUGAGGCCUUGGUACAGUCAGCAGACGUCCAGUGGCAGAUGGUUUUGAAGAAGAUUCUUUCCACUCAAGAUAUGGGGCAUGACUUUUUAAAUUUAGUCAACAUGGUAAAUGACAAUCUAAUAUUGAAUGUGGAAAAUGUUGUACAAGUAACUGAACAUACUAUUGAUAUUCUGAACAAAGAAAAGGACGAAUUGACAGAGCUUUGGACAACAUGGAAACUGAAUAUGAAUCAAGUGAACUCCAUCAAACGGCAGUGUGGGAAAUUUAAUGAGCAAUUUAAAAAUACCACACAAAGCCUAAACAUUCUUCAAGAGACACUCAAGUCCACCAGAACACUUGAUCUUGGAAGCAACCUUUCAAUACUUGUAGAACUUCAAAAUACAUUUAACCAAAUGAAACCACAAUUUCAGCAACUCAAUGUUGAGGUGGAAUACACAUUAAAGUUAUCAGAGCAGUUGAGCUUGAAAGGAGUUCCGGACAUGGAGAAGUCAGAGAAAGUAAGUGAACUUAAGCAUCUCCAUAAGGAGAUAAAGGAAAGGAUGGCAGAAUAUGAUGACAUUUUCAACAAGACAGUCAGAUUCCAUCACAUCAAAGAAGAGCUUGAAGAUCUCAUAAAAUCAGCAGGAUUAGACAUCGCAGAAUUGAAAGAUGUGCCAGGUGACACUCCUCAUGCUAAAAUUCACCUGAAUAAUGCUCAGGAGAAGCAUGCACAUAUCAGGCACCUGUACAAGAUGGUGCUCACGCUUGGAAUGGAUAUAAUUUCAGCCGCGAAAUAUACUAAUUCCUUUAAUGUUUCUGUAAAGAACCUACAGCAGCAGCUGGAUGCCCUUGAAAAUGACAGCAUUAACUGGAAUUCCAAGGCUGAAAAGCAUGAGGAAGAGCUGUCACACAUCCUCUAUUUCUGCACCAAAAGAGACGAGAUCCAUGAGCUCAGAGAAUCAUUUAAAGACCUCAAAAAGAAAUUCAACAACAUGAAAUUCAACUACAGCAAGAAAACUGAAAAAGCACGAAAUCUGAAAGCACUAAAGAUCCAGAUUCAACAAGUUGAUGCAUAUUCUGAAAAAAUGCAGGUACUGAAGAAGAAGACAGAGAAUUUAAAGAAGACAAUCUUAGAUUUCUUAACAACUCUGCCAAGUGAUAAAGCUGGGGUGCUUCCGCAGUCCAUCAGUGAAUUAGAAAAAAAUCUGAAUGAAUUUGGCAAGAUAAUGGGAGAUUACAAACACAAUUUAGAUCUUAUGGAGCAGCUGCAGCAGAUGAUGGAAGAGUGUCAAUUUUGGUGCGAAGAAGCAAGUGCUACAGUACUUCGGGUUGGGAAAUAUUCAUCGGAGUGUAAAACGAGAGAAGCGGUAGAAAUACUCUACAAGCAGUUCAACAAGUUUGUACACCCUAUUGUCCCUCAGCAAGAGGAAAGAAUUCAGCAGAUUACUAACCUUGCUAAAGACAUAUAUGGCACUGAAGAAGGAAAGAAGUAUGUUGAAAAAAUAGUGGCAAAGCAUGAAGAAGUUCUUGAUUCCAUCAGUGAACUGUGUAGUUCCUUAACAGAACUUGAAGACAAGCUUGGGGAAGACUCACUAAACAGAAAAGCAACACAUUCUGAUAACUUUGAUGUGGAGCUAAAAGCAGAAUAUGAAAAGCAGAAAGAGAAGAGAGCUAAGGAGUACCUAACAGAAACAACCAACGAGCCAACACAGAUGGAGUCAGAUACACUGGCUGGAAGCCCAUGCACAAAUAAAACAGAAGUUAUCUCCUCCACCACUGUAAAGGAAGAAAAGAUUUUGGCUGAUAUUUCAGUUAUCAGCCCAGCUGGUGAGGAUAUUGUUUCACAGGACACAGAAUUGUUGUCUCCUGCCAAAGAGGAUAGUUUCCAGGCCGAGCUGCUGGCAGAAGAUGUGCCCUCUGGAGAGGAAUAUGAGUGUAUAUCCCCAGAUGAUAUCUCUUUGCCACCGCUUUCUGAAACGCCAGAAUCCAACCUUCUGCAUUCUGAAACGGAUCUGGAAGAGCUCCCUUGCAGUAGCUCACGUAGCCUGCAUGUCAGCUCCUCUAGUGUGCAAAUGCAGAUAAAUACUGGCAGUAAAAGAAUGGCAGAUGAAUCUGAUCCCUUAACCUCUGCUGCUUAUGCUGACAUGCCUGGUCACAGGAUGGAACAUAUGGCCGAUCAACUAGAGCGAUUUUCUUCCUCUACCUUAAGCUAUCACUCAAAAUGCAAAGUGGAAUCACCUUUUGCUCCUAGUUCACCAGAAAUGCUUGAAACCAGCCCUGUAUCCUGCACGCUCAAGACAAAGGCUGCCUAUUGCAUGUCAAGUGAAGUGUGUGAGACCUAUUUGCAAAACCGUGGGACUCACAGGAGCAUGGCAGAAGCGCAGAGACAAUUGCAUGAUAUAAAUAACUUUACUAAAAACCAGGAUAGGCCGCAUGCUUUACCCAAUACAUUCUCAGAUCUCCUGUUUCAAUCAGACACCACCAGAAGCUGUCAGAGGCAGAUGGUCACCCGAGAAGAGAUUAAAAGUAUAUCUGAAAAGAACAGCAUGGUCAGCCUAUCUGGACAGGCGCCUAAGUUCUCCAAGCUUCUGUCUAACGUAACUGUCAUGGAAGGUUCUCCGGUGACUUUGGAAGUAGAAGUAACAGGAUUCCCAGAGCCUACGCUGACCUGGUACAAGAAGGGCCAGAAAGUGACUGGAGAUGAGCACUUAAAGCUCUUUCACAAGGACACAAAGUACACUUUGUUCAUUCAGAAGGUGUGUGACACAGACGCUGGGCUCUAUGUAGUUCGGGCCAAAAACUCUAGUGGCACCGUCUCCUCCAGUGCCAUCCUCCAUGUGAAAGUUCAAGGAAAACAGCCAAACUUCAUUAAAAAAUUUGGACACACUACUCUGCAAGAAGGAGAUGAUUUAAACCUGCAUUGUACAAUAUAUGGAAGACCAAGGCCAAAUGUCAUUUGGACAAAAGAUGGCAUCAGAGUGGCAGGAAGAGAAAUUAGUAUUGAGAAAUUAGGGGACACCUAUUACCUUUUAAAAAGAAAUGCAGUCCUUGCUGACACUGGAAAAUAUAUCUGCCUUGCCACUAAUGAAGUCGGGGAGGCACACUGCUCAGCUUUCAUAAGAGUGAUAGAGAAGAAUAAAAAUGCCCAUGUUCUCACUGUAACUGAGACUAAAUCAAAGCAAGGGAGAGACUAUUUGUCAGAAAAAGUGAAGGCUGCCACACCUGAAGCAUUGCAAGGGUUCUUUUUGGUCUGGAAUAGCCCCAUUGUGUCAUGUGAGCAGCCUGAAGCAAUAUGGUCAGGUACAGGAUUACCAUGUCAUCUGCGGGAUGUGAAAACCAGUCCUGAGCUCUUAGGCAAGACACCCUCCUUUGUAAUCCAAGAACGUGGAACAGGCUGAAUCUGCCCAGUGGUGGCACUUUUAAAGAUGACUUCAUGCAUUCCAAAACCUAAGCCCUUCCUUUCAAAACAGAAUCUGUGGCUGAUCUCUGAAAACCAGACAGCUGCACUUUAACCAUCCCAAAGAUACAGCAAGACCACCAGCAGAGGACUUGGAAGAUGUAGCCUGAGUCGCAUGAGCAGCAACCACACUGGAGAAAGACAGUGCAAGACCAUUCGUUUCAGAACCAUGAGGACCUGAAGAGUUGGCCUCCCAGAGAAUUCUUUGUCAGGUUGUCAAAACAGUUCAGAAUCUUCACAAAGUAGAUGGCACAUGUUUUAUGGAUGUCUCUUGUAUUCAAUUUCCACAAAAGUUUGUCUUAUAUGAUCUGUAAAUCUUUACACAUUGUUAUUGCACACGAGUGUUCCUUUGGGUCCAGUGAAGGCCUAUGCAUCAUUUUUAAAAUGUAUUUCCGUUUAGGGUGGGCUAUGCUAGCUGACCUGAUUAUUGUAUAUUUGCAGUUCACACAUCGACCUUAUGUGACAGGAUUGAGUAAAACAUGCCGAAAACCAAUCAGAGUGUUUCCUAGCUGCAAAGAGAUCUAGAUCUCAGGGCUGGCCUAACUUCACAUGCAAGCAAUCCAAAUGGUCUCUUUGUCCAGUAGUUUUUUUAAAAGGUAUCAGUGAAGCAGUGUGAUUAUAAAUGGCAUACAUCCUGGAUCCUUUGCAAUGUAAAGCUGGGCCACUGUUCUCAGAUCAGACAUAGAAAGGCCCCUGUGCAGUGGCAGUGCUUAAAAAACAAAGACCUAGUUCACAUAUAAUGGAAAUCAUGGGUUAAUUAAUUGCCAAAUUCUACUGAAGAUUAGCAAGUGUGGUAUCUCUUGCACACUCAUCACUUCUGCUUGCAUUUAACAACCUAUUUCUGCCCCAUUUGAGGUUGAUGGUAUGAUGUCUGAAACCAAACACUCUAGGUUGUUUAGUGAUUAAAUAACCCAGAGUGUGCACAUGGCUGGUUGUUGGAUUAUCUCAGUUGUUAACAUCUAAACAAUCAAGAAUGUCUGAGUUCAUAUAUCAUGCUAAAUUUCUGAAUGGCCAGAGGCAGUGCACUUCCUCACUUGCCCCUACAACAUUUUAGAAGUGAGUGAAUCCAUCCAUCCAUCCAUCCAUCCAUCCAUCCAUCCAUCCAUCCAUCUAUAAUUGCCAUUACAUGAAAACUGGGUAGAAAUGUCUUGAGCCAGCUUUGACAAAGCCUGAGUCAGAUUUCUCCAACUGACAGACUGGUCUGACAUGCAUAUUAGGCAAGACACCAAAAAUAGCCCCUUUUUUCUGAAUUGAACAUAUAAUGUCUAGGCACUAUCACAUCAUAACUUUAUGUUGAGAAUUCCUUAUAUUCAUUCUGUAUUACUGCCAAUAAGACUAGUCAAUAAUAACAGAUCAUGGGAGCUGAAAUCCAACAUGUGGAGGACCCCUUGCCUUACCAUAUGGUGGAUAUAAGCACUGGUCCUGUUUCUAGUAGCAUAAAUAGAUGCUAAAGUCUGGACAUGGCCAGUUGUGCUCUUCCAGUUAUGGCUAAUUUUGAAGAUGUGCCUGAUAGGAUAUUCUUUCCCAAACAAGAGGUAGUAUCCAGCAGUGUGCAGCCAGUAAAAUAAGUUAAAUGAUUCUAGAACAAUCUGAAUGGCUUUAGCUGGUGCACCAGUUUCUUAGAGAUAUUGGAGUGCCAGCUAAUGCUACUGAUGUUUGCACUGGAGUAGUUUCUGCUUGUACAAGUUAAUUUAUAUAAGUGGUUGUACCCCACUAGAUACUGUACUUUAUGCCCUCCAUUGGAUUUUGUACUUCAGCUCUCUUCAGCGCCAGCCAGCAUUAACAAUAGUUGGCAAUUUUGGAAGUUAUAGUGCAAAACCUUGAAAAGUGGGGCACCAGGUUGGGGAAGUCUUUGUAAGGCCGGGGUAAAGAAUUUGGCUUACCUGUCACAAAAGUUGUACAAUAUAUUGCUCUAUGGUUCCUUUAUCUCUUCAUCCUUUUCCUAAAACCAAAGGUAUUAUAGCCAAUCAUGUAUUGAGAAAUAAAUAGAAGGAACAAGUAUAACUUGUCUAUAAGUAAACAAAUAAAUAUUUUGCUUGAAAA
RNA transcript from Varanus komodoensis (Komodo dragon), 7430 nucleotides. It is a transcript of the gene named coiled-coil domain containing 141, with no coding region annotated. The record is from RefSeq and is a predicted model, not a curated record. Lineage: Eukaryota; Metazoa; Chordata; Lepidosauria; Squamata; Varanidae. The transcript is spliced from 31 exons.